AGAGUUUGAUCCUGGCUCAGGAUGAACGCUAGCGGGAGGCUUAACACAUGCAAGUCGAGGGGCAGCACGAUGUAGCAAUACGUUGGUGGCGACCGGCGCACGGGUGAGUAACACGUAUGCAACCUACCCUGUACAGGGGGAUAACCCGGAGAAAUUCGGACUAAUAUCCCAUAAAGAUAUGAAGAGGCAUCUUUUUAUAUUUAAAGCUCAGGCGGUACGGGAUGGGCAUGCGGAACAUUAGCUAGUUGGUAGGGUAACGGCCUACCAAGGCCGCGAUGUUUAGGGGACCUGAGAGGGUGAACCCCCACACUGGUACUGAGACACGGACCAGACUCCUACGGGAGGCAGCAGUGAGGAAUAUUGGUCAAUGGGCGAAAGCCUGAACCAGCCAUGCCGCGUGCAGGAAGACUGCCCUAUGGGUUGUAAACUGCUUUUAUACAGGAAGAAAUACUCGGACGUGUCCGAGCUUGACGGUACUGUAUGAAUAAGCACCGGCUAACUCCGUGCCAGCAGCCGCGGUAAUACGGAGGGUGCAAGCGUUAUCCGGAAUCAUUGGGUUUAAAGGGUCCGUAGGCGGAUUAAUAAGUCAGAGGUGAAAUCCCACAGCUUAACUGUGGAACUGCCUUUGAUACUGUUAGUCUUGAGUUAUAUGGAAGUAGAUAGAAUGUGUAGUGUAGCGGUGAAAUGCAUAGAUAUUACACAGAAUACCGAUUGCGAAGGCAGUCUACUACGUAUAUACUGACGCUAAUGGACGAAAGCGUGGGGAGCGAACAGGAUUAGAUACCCUGGUAGUCCACGCCGUAAACGAUGGACACUAGUUGUUGGAGAAAUUCAGUGACUAAGCGAAGUGAUAAGUGUCCCACCUGGGGAGUACGAUCGCAGAUUGAACUCAAGGAUUGACGG
This 903-nucleotide ribosomal RNA is filed under the name uncultured bacterium. RNAcentral's name for it is "bacterial SSU rRNA". It matches the Rfam family "Bacterial small subunit ribosomal RNA", at positions 8 to 916 of the family's 1533-position model. The record is from RNAcentral.